UAGUCCACGCCGUAAACGAUGGACACUAGUUGUUGGAAUUUUCAGUGACUAAGCGAAAGUGAUAAGUGUCCCACCUGGGGAGUACGAUCGCAAGAUUGAAACUCAAAGGAAUUGACGGGGGCCCGCACAAGCGGUGGAGCAUGUGGUUUAAUUCGAUGAUACGCGAGGAACCUUACCAGGGCUUAAAUGUAGAUUGACAGGUUUAGAGAUAGACUUUUCUUCGGACAAUUUACAAGGUGCUGCAUGGUUGUCGUCAGCUCGUGCCGUGAGGUGUCAGGUUAAGUCCUAUAACGAGCGCAACCCUUGUCGUUAGUUGCCAGCAUGUAAAGAUGGGGACUCUAACGAGACUGCCGGUGCAAACCGUGAGGAAGGUGGGGAUGACGUCAAAUCAUCACGGCCCUUACGUCCUGGGGCCACACACGUGCUACAUGGUAUGGGACAAUGAGCAGCCAUCUGGCAGCAGAGAGCAAAUCUACAAACCAUA
This 484-nucleotide ribosomal RNA is filed under the name uncultured bacterium. RNAcentral's name for it is "bacterial SSU rRNA". It matches the Rfam family "Bacterial small subunit ribosomal RNA", at positions 791 to 1286 of the family's 1533-position model. The record is from RNAcentral.